UAGUCAUAUGCUUGUCUCAAAGAUUAAGCCAUGCAUGUCUAAGUAUAAACGACUUUAUACUGUGAAACUGCGUACAGCUCAUUAAAUCAGUAAUUAUUUAUUUGAUGGUACCUUACUACAUGGAUAACCGUAGUAAUUCUAGAGCUAAUACAUGCGCAAAAUCCCGACUCACGAAGGGAUGUAUUUAUUAGAUACAAAACCGCCGCUGGGGCAACUCAGCGUUUUUGGUGAAUCAUAGUAACUGAUCGAAUCGCAUGGCCUCGUGCCGGCGAUAGUU
This 277-nucleotide ribosomal RNA is filed under the name uncultured eukaryote. RNAcentral's name for it is "partial 18S ribosomal RNA". It matches the Rfam family "Eukaryotic small subunit ribosomal RNA", at positions 21 to 295 of the family's 1831-position model. The record is from RNAcentral.